GAUCUAAGGCUAAAUAUAUCCACAGACCCGAUAGCAAACAAGUACCGUGAGGGAAAGUUGAAAAGCACUCUGGAGAGAGAGUCAAAAGACCGUGAAACCGCUCAGAGUAUAAGCCCAUGGCAGCUUGGAAGGCAUAUCGCUAGCGGGGCAUCGGUCUCCCUUCACGGGGAGAUCCGGUGUUACCUUGCUUCUGUUGUGGCUCGUCACGGUAGGGGGGUCAAGUCCACAUCCCGCCGACGUGUGGGGAGUUCUCGGGUGCGUUGGGUUGUUCGGUGUUGGUUUCGGCCGCGCCGCUUCAGCUCUUCGUGCUUGGUUCUCUUUCAACACGGACGUUCAGACUCAGUUGCAAGACGCGAUAAACAGCCCACCACGGCACGUUGUGAGGUCACCCACAGGCUCAGCUUUCGAUUGUGGUCCUUGACGCCGAGCAAGCACAAUGCGUGUCGCAGAUGUUCCUAACCGGGGUGCUCCCCGGACGGUGGAACGACACGCGCUCAUGACAGUCAGGACCGGGCGAUGACAGAGUUCUGGUAUGAUCCUCUUGCGACGAGCCGGCUUCUGGCCAAUUUCCGAUGUUCAGGUCUCUCGCAUGUGCCGCGGGAGAUCCUUUCGACGACGGUCUGGAGUUGUACUCCUCUGAGUCGAGCAUCGGAAAGAGUGGUGUAAAGUCCAAGCCCAUCGGUCACGUCUCGAAACACGGGCCAAGGA
RNAcentral lists this ribosomal RNA (708 nucleotides) under Gammarus sobaegensis. RNAcentral describes it as "eukaryotic LSU rRNA". It matches the Rfam family "Eukaryotic large subunit ribosomal RNA", at positions 307 to 672 of the family's 3401-position model. Lineage: Eukaryota; Metazoa; Arthropoda; Malacostraca; Amphipoda; Gammaridae. The record is from RNAcentral.